UACGGAGGGUGCAAGCGUUAUCCGGAUUUACUGGGUUUAAAGGGUGCGGAGGUGGACAGGAAAGUCAGUGGUGAAAUCUUCGAGCUUAACUCGGAAACUGCCAUUGAUACUAUUUGUCUUGAAUAAUUUGGAGGUAAGCGGAAUAUGUCAUGUAGCGGUGAAAUGCUUUGAUAUGACAUAGAACACCAACUGCGAAGGCAGCUUACUACACAGUUAUUGACACUGAGGCACGAAAGCGUGGGGAUCAAACAGG
Molecule: ribosomal RNA, 253 nt
Filed under: uncultured bacterium
Lineage: Bacteria
Description: partial 16S ribosomal RNA
Rfam family: Bacterial small subunit ribosomal RNA
Source: RNAcentral